GACAGAGGGUGCAAACGUUGUUCGGAAUUACUGGGCGUAAAGCGCGUGUAGGCAGCCCCGCAAGUCGGAUGUGAAAGCCCUGGGCUCAACCUAGGAAGUGCAUUCGAUACUGCGAGGCUUGAGUCCUGGAGAGGAAGGCGGAAUUCUCGGUGUAGAGGUGAAAUUCGUAGAUAUCGAGAGGAACACCGGUGGCGAAGGCGGCCUUCUGGACAGUGACUGACGCUGAGACGCGAAAGCGUGGGGAGCAAACAGG
RNAcentral lists this ribosomal RNA (253 nucleotides) under uncultured bacterium. RNAcentral's name for it is "partial 16S ribosomal RNA". It matches the Rfam family "Bacterial small subunit ribosomal RNA", at positions 524 to 776 of the family's 1533-position model. The record is from RNAcentral.